UCUGCGCGCUCGUGGUGAGAAGGGGGUGCUGCGCCCCGAGAACGAGACGCUGCUGGACGCCGAGCGGUGGCCGCGAACUUCGCGACACAUUGAGUGGAGGAGGUGUUGCACUGCGGGGAUGAGAUCACAGUCACACGGAACGCGAUCGGGGACGGCGCGGAUCUGACGACAGACCGUGGCUGGGACGUUCCAGGUUGGAUCGAGAGGAGGAUGGGGGCAUGAGCAUCAGCUGGCAGCGCAACACCUUCGCCGCUCUUCUCUUGAUUAGCCAUGUUCGUCCGCCGUUGGACCAAUCCAGCACCACCAUGAUGACCCUCUCGUCGAGCCGAACCCGUUCUGCCGGUGUUCGUCGCCCCUACAUCGUCGGGCACCGCCGCCAACGAAGCUGCCGCCGGCCAUCUCGUCUCCGGCCAAAUUCCGGCCAGGGCCCCUCCAACGUAGGCGGACGUGUCCGUCGAUAGCGAGGCACCAGUGGUGACUUCGUCAAUCUCGAAGAUCUGUCGGCUCAGUCUCUCAGAGGAUAAAGUCUCUCGGAGGUGCUUAUAUGGGUAGGGUUGCAUAUGUGUAUUCGUAAGGGUGAGUGUAUAUACAUUUAAGCGUAUGCGUUUGUACUGUAGUUCAAAAAAUCAUAAGGAAAAAGUCUCCUUAACACCCUGAA
Molecule: long non-coding RNA, 658 nt
Organism: Panicum virgatum (switchgrass)
Lineage: Eukaryota; Viridiplantae; Streptophyta; Magnoliopsida; Poales; Poaceae
Exons: 2
Source: RefSeq, a predicted model, not a curated record